UGCGCUGGCGGCCUUGCAGCUUCGGAGG
RNAcentral lists this non-coding RNA (28 nucleotides) under Mus musculus (house mouse). The record is from RNAcentral. Lineage: Eukaryota; Metazoa; Chordata; Mammalia; Rodentia; Muridae.